Molecule: ribosomal RNA, 491 nt
Filed under: uncultured bacterium
Lineage: Bacteria
Description: bacterial SSU rRNA
Rfam family: Bacterial small subunit ribosomal RNA
Source: RNAcentral
GAUGAACGCUAGCUACAGGCUUAACACAUGCAAGGUCGAGGGGCAGCAUGAACUUAGCUUGCUAAGUUUGAUGGCGACCGGCGCACGGGUGAGUAACACGUAUCCAACCUGCCGAUGACUCGGGGAUAGCCUUUCGAAAGAAAGAUUAAUACCCGAUGGCAUAGUUCUCCCGCAUGGGGUUUUAUAUUAAAGAAAUUCGGUAUGAGAUGGGGAUGCGUUCCAUUAGUUUGUUGGCGGGGUAACGGCCCACCAAGACUACGAUGGAUAGGGGUUCUGAGAGGAAGGUCCCCCACAUUGGAACUGAGACACGGUCCAAACUCCUACGGGAGGCAGCAGUGAGGAAUAUUGGUCAAUGGACGCGAGUCUGAACCAGCCAAGUAGCGUGAAGGAUGACUGCCCUAUGGGUUGUAAACUUCUUUUAUAUGGGAAUAAAGUGGUCCACGUGUGGAUUUUUGUAUGUACCAUAUGAAUAAGGAUCGGCUAACUCCGUG